UGGGGAAUCUUCCGCAAUGGACGAAAGUCUGACGGAGCAACGCCGCGUGAGUGAAGAAGGUUUUCGGAUCGUAAAACUCUGUCCUUUUGGGGCGAACGUGAGUAUGGUGAACAAUCAUAGUCAGUGACGGUACCAAAGGAGGAAGCCACGGCUAACUACGUGCCAGCAGCCGCGGUAAUACGUAGGUGGCAAGCGUUGUCCGGAAUUAUUGGGCGUAAAGAGCGCGUAGGCGGGAUAGUCAGUCUGUUGUAAAAGUGCGGGGCUCAACCCCGUGAUGGCAAUGGAAACAGCUAUUCUUGAGUGCAGGAGAGGAAAGUGGAAUUCCCAGUGUAGCGGUGAAAUGCGUAGAUAUUGGGAGGAACACCAGUGGCGAAGGCGACUUUCUGGACUGUGUCUGACGCUGAGGCGCGAAAGCCAGGGGAGCGAACGGGAUUAGAUACCCCGGUAGUCCUGGCCGUAAACGAUGGGUACUAGGUGUGGGGGGUAUCGACCCCUUCCGUGCCGGAGUUAACGCAAUAAGUACCCCGCCUGGGGAGUACGGUCGCAAGACUGAAACUCAAAGGAAUUGACGGGGGUCAUAGCUGUUUCCUG
Molecule: ribosomal RNA, 591 nt
Filed under: uncultured bacterium
Lineage: Bacteria
Description: partial 16S ribosomal RNA
Rfam family: Bacterial small subunit ribosomal RNA
Source: RNAcentral